Molecule: ribosomal RNA, 504 nt
Filed under: uncultured bacterium
Lineage: Bacteria
Description: partial 16S ribosomal RNA
Rfam family: Bacterial small subunit ribosomal RNA
Source: RNAcentral
AUUGAACGCUGGCGGCAGGCCUAACACAUGCAAGUCGAACGGUAGCACAGAGAGCUUGCUCUCGGGUGACGAGUGGCGGACGGGUGAGUAAUGUCUGGGAAACUGCCCGAUGGAGGGGGAUAACUACUGGAAACGGUAGCUAAUACCGCAUAACGUCGCAAGACCAAAGUGGGGGACCUUCGGGCCUCACACCAUCGGAUGUGCCCAGAUGGGAUUAGCUAGUAGGUGGGGUAAUGGCUCACCUAGGCGACGAUCCCUAGCUGGUCUGAGAGGAUGAGCAGCCACACGGGAACUGAGACACGGUCCAGACUCCUACGGGAGGCAGCAGUGGGGAAUAUUGCACAAUGGGCGCAAGCCUGAUGCAGCCAUGCCGCGUGUAUGAAGAAGGCCUUCGGGUUGUAAAGUACUUUCAGCGGGGAGGAAGGCGGUGAAGUUAAUAGCUUCACCGAUUGACGUUACCCGCAGAAGAAGCACCGGCUAACUCCGUGCCAGCCGCCGCCGUAA